This 8235-nucleotide long non-coding RNA is filed under the name Homo sapiens (human). RNAcentral's name for it is "HSALNT0281091". The record is from RNAcentral. Lineage: Eukaryota; Metazoa; Chordata; Mammalia; Primates; Hominidae.
CGAGCCUCGUGCUCUUCUCGAAUUUUCUUCCUUCUCAAUUUUCAUCUCGUGAGUGUAGCAACAUGAAUUAUAGCUUGUCAAGCAAUACAUUUUCUCAGCGUUGAGAAGAUUCUGCUCCAUUUUUUCUGAUUAUGGAUUCUGUUCAGAAGGAAGCCGAAUUUUAAGUCAUCGUUCUAGGAUAGAUUCAGCUCCAUUUUCUCUGGUGGUAGAUCUCCAUGGAUGCUAUUGAGAAGGUACUUCUCAAAGUCCACGAGGACAAGGACAUCUUUCCACCGAAUGCCACCUGGUUUAUAACAAAAGCAUGAAAAACAAACAGGAAUUUCUCAAUGCAGAAAGGACUGAAGCUGUCAAAGGUGUGCUUUUUUUCUGCACAAACAAGUUUCCAUUGAAUGAUAGAAUAAAGAGAUACUGACUUCCCCGGAGCCUCCAAACUUGAGUAGUCAGGUGUACUUAUUGGAGCUGACCAGCCUUCACAUGCUGGGUUUGAGAAUGCCUGGACUCUGCCCGUCAAUUCUCUCCUUCUGGGGAAUAUGUUUGAAGCUGAGAUUUCCAUUAAAUUAUGGGCCUUUUCCUACUGAAUUUGAUAACCUUGGAUAAAAUGAGCCUAGAUCAGCAUUUCUCAAAUAUAUUGCAUAUUAUAUAAUUCAUAAAGGAGGUUGAAAAUGCCUUUUGUCUAGGUGAUACCUCAAGUCAAAUUAUUUUGAGUCAGACAGGCACUGUGGUUCACACCUGUAAUGUCAGCACUUUGACAGGCCAAGGCAGGAAGAACAUCUGAGCUCAGGAGUUUAAGACCAGCCUGGGCAACAUAGUGAGACCCCGUCUCUGCUAAAAAAGAAAAAAAAAGAAAAGAAGAAAAGCCAGGUGGCAUGCACCUGUAGUCCCAGCUACUCAAGAGCCUGAGGUGGGAGGUCGAGGCUGCGAUGAGACCUGUCAUGCCACUGCACUCCAGCCUGGGCAACAGAGCAAGACUCUCUCUCUCUCUCUCUCUCAAAAAAAAUCUGUAUCUCUGACAGUAGAAUUUUAUUUCAAUUGUUUUUAAACCAUCUACUGAGGAUUCCAUUUUGGGGGAUGUAUUGGAAACCAAUGUUUAAAGUAUGAAUAUUCUGACACUUUAGCAGGCAUUGGGAUCCGUGGAAGGCUUGUUAAAUCCAAAUAGAUUGGUCCUACUCCAUCCGCAGAGUUGCUGACGAGGUGCGUCCAGGAAUCUCUUGCCCCAAGUUUCAUUCCAAGUAUUUAAAUUGGAAUUGAGCAUCCUGUCAUGCCAGGGAUGAGAAUGCCUGGGUUACAUCAGUUAGCCCUCUCCUCUUGAGGAAUGGCAUAUUACCCAUUUUAGACUGUGUCCACAUGGCACACCAUUUAUUCAUGGGUACCUCAAUGCUACCACAGGUUUGAUUAUUAUUUUAGAGGAUGUCAACACAACUUGGAAAGGCCUUUGUACUGAUGCUUACAGUACAUUACAGUUUAAGAACACAGAUGAAAAAUCACCAAGUAAAAAAGGAGCAUAGGGAGGAAUCCAGGAGAAACCAGGCUCAAGCUUCCAGCCACCCUCUUCCAGUGGAGUCAAGUGCACUGCACUUAAUUCUCCCAGCCAGGUGUGCGGCCACCUGUGCCAAGUGUUCCCAACCAGCUGCACUUCAAGGGAAGUUAUUGAAUAUGUCCUAUCCAACUAAAACAAGGAAAUGAUGAAAAAAAUAAAAUCACUUUCCAGAGGCCUCAGGGCUAACUGGAGACAGAGCUCAGACUGCAACUGAGAAAAGUUGGACUCCAAAACCUGUACUCUGAGCUUUACUGCAUGAGAAAGUUAUUGAAAUGUGCCUUGUGACAUUCAGAAUAAGUGACUUUUCAGAGGUCUCAGAGUCAGUAAGAGACAGAACUCAGAUUGUAACCAAGAAGAGCUGAACUCCAAACUUCUGUGUCCGGAAUUGGUGGGUUCUUGGUCUCACUGACUUCAAGAAUGAAGCGGCAGACCCUCGCGCAUACCUGCCAUGCAAGAAAUGUGAAAAGUUCUUCGGAGAGAAGGAAAAUUAUAUAGGUCAGAAACUGAGACCUACAUAAGGAAAGAAGAGCAUUGGAUGAAGAAGAAAUAAAUAAAGAUGCAAUGGAUUAAGACUCUUGACUAGAAUAAUCUGAAGCAUUCUGCGUGAAUUUGUGACCAAAGAAACCAAAAAUCAGGCUACCUUUGACAAUGUCAAAUUACAGUGAACUGUGGAGUCGAUUAUACCUCUCAUAUUUCUUUAUUAUGUUAAAUGCUUAAUUAUUUGCUUGAUUCUGUCUUUGUCAUAGUCCUUUAUUACAAUGACGUCUUAUUUAAGUAAAAGAAUUCCAAAUACAUAGAAAACAAAAGCAUUUGUUUUAUUUCAAAAUAAUGAAGAAACAUAAUAGGUUAUACAACUUUUCAAGAGACCAUUAUGCUGUUAAAUCAUUUAUAUAUCUUCUCUUUAUUUGGACUCAGAAAAUAUGGACAUUAUAAUGCAAAAAGUUACUGAAAAAUCAAUGUCAGCAUCAUCUGAACUCUUUUCCCCUAAUCUAAUCUAGGCAUUUGGAUUACCCAUUUCUAAGCACAUCAGUGGUUUUUGAAUGUCAGUAGCACCCUGCUUAAUCAAUAAGCCUUUAUUUGGCUCAAUGAACUGCUGAUACGUACUUUUACAUAUUCAAAAUCUGUCCCUCAGUAUGGAUACUAACUAGAUCUUUUUUGAAUGAGAAGGUCAGGUCAGGCUCCCCCUUGGCAAUGAUACCAGCUCCCUCAGAUUCUCAUUAAUGGAACCAUGUGCUCACUGAACAAAGAAUGCUUACAGAAAAAAAAAAGAAUAUUGACGUCAGUGUAUAUUAUAUUCCUUAAAAAUAUUUAUAAACGAGCAUUCGUUAUAGAAGCAAGGAACAUGACAGCUUAUUGAUUAUGCAAAUAUGUUCCUUGUACGCUUUUAAAAUAAAUCAAUUAGUGCAAGAGUUGGCAAAGUCUUCCUUAAAGGGCAAGAUUAUUAAAAUAUUAGGCUUUGCUGGCCAUUUGGUCUGUCACAACUAAUUAACUCUGCUGUCGUAAUGGGAAAACAGCCACAGACAAUAUGUGAAAUAAUGGAUGUGGCUGUAUUUCAAUAAAACUUUGUUUAGAGAAACAGGUGGUGGGACAGUGUGUUGAUCCCUGAACUAAUGGGAUAAAAUAUAACUUAAAUAUAAUAUGCAUGUAUGUACAUAUGUUUCUGUUUACAAAAUAGAAUUGAGUGUCUCUUUCAGCUAAUUGAGCACCAUAAUGUAAACCUACAAGAGGUACGAGAGAAUUUCGUAUAUGUAUUUGAAGUCUUGACACUGCUAAAUCUUUUGUUUGUAAUUGGCAUGCCAUGUUGGAAGACAUAAUAGAGAAACUGUCUAUCCAUGCGUCCUUUACUUAAGAAAACUAAACUCUUCUCUGAAGUUAUGUGGUAUAGAUUUUUCCUAAAGGAAGCCAACCAGUUGAAAGAUCAAGCUAUGCAUUAACUCAUCACACUUUAAAUAAGUAAAUAAAUAAAUAACUCACCUAGUUCAUUGUUUGGAUGGUUUAUUGGAUGUGAGAUACUUCAUACUGUCCUGACACAGAGUUUAUUACCUAUGUAAGAGAAGGCACAUAUGGUUAGGUUUCAAGAGAUAUUCUAAUUGUUUCCUGUGGUGAUGUUUGAACUCUACAGUCAAAUUCAGAUGCAUUUAAUUUGGUAAGGUAGACAAUUGGUUAAAUGUUUGGUGUCAAAGUAAGAAAUACAUAGUGAAUUGAUGGAGAGGAAUGUUCUUAAAGUGGUCUAUACAGAUUGACCCUAAAAUCAACCUCACCUUUAUAUCAACCUCGUCUUUGAAAAGAUUGCAGCCCCAAGGACUUUGAUUAUUUUUCUUCAUGACCUCUCUGGGUACCUGAUAAUAGGAAUAGACACACGAAAAAAAACCUGAUAAUGUUACUCUGGUGUAAUCACAACUACUUCUGCUCUAUUAAAACUACCAUGCGAUAUGACCACUUUUACAGUCAUUUGUUAACUUUCUCUUUUAUCAUCAAAGUUGUACUGCACAUACUCAAAACUGACAGCUACAAUAGAGUGGCCCAUAUAUUCUCUGAGAUCAAGACAGAAACAUUACUCAUCAAAUUCUAAUCUAGUGUCACAUAGGAGAAAUACAACUAGCCAGUGAGACUCUCACUGCUAUCUGGCUCACAGAAACAGAUAGAGCAACUUCUCAUCUAUUAUUGAAGCAUUGCAGAAAUUGUGGUGCAGUGUAUGUGCCUACACUAUAAAGUAGCUAGGCUUGCACUUUUUAUGUGUGUUUGGCCAUAUAAUUCAUCUGGGCCUAGUAUCAACUCAGGACAUGGAUAUACUUUUUAAAGUAAUUGAGUAAUGUAUAUCUUUAAAAGCAAUCUCGUUAGAGCUUUAGGACAUUUCUAACAAAGCAAUGAAAUGUAGAGAUCUUAAUACAUUUCUAUGACUAUGAAUGUAAAUAAUAUAUGUUAUUUAAUAUUUUUCACAUGAAAAGAAAAUACUAACCCAGAAUGAAAAUGUAUCAAUAAUCCUGAGUAAAUUAAUCUAACAACAAUGAAUGUUUUGUGGUGCAUAUUUGGCAAAGCCUUCAAAUUUGUCAGACCUUUACAAAUCAUUUUCUUAUGUAGAGUCAUUGCUGUGUUUUGUAAUAAAUUUUGAAAACUGGCUUUAUGGAAUAAAAUAAAAAGCAAAUUUAUUAACUUUUUUGUAAAAGCUUUUCAAUGGUUUCACUAACUAUUUAAAAACAAAAAUAAAUAACCUUUGAGAUUGCUAUAUCAUUGAGAUUAUUUUAAAAGUCUCUUGAAAGUACUUAUACCUUAUUUGGUAUUAUAAAGAGGUUUCUAUAAAAAGUUACUUGUAUUUUGUGUCCCAAAUAAUUCAACAACAUAUUUAUUCAUUCUGCAAACAAACGAUAGCUGUUCCCUAAAGCAAUAUUUAUUAGAAAACUUAGGAAACCUGAGCAAAAUAUUGACUGAAGACAAACACAUUUAUAAUCAAUUAAAGAUAAAAAAGUUAACUUUUUACAAGAUGGACUAAAGAUUUAAAUGUAAGACCUCAAACUAUAAAAAUCUGAGAAGAAAACUGAGUAAAUACCCUUCUCGGUGUGAGCUUUGGCAAAAAAAAAAAAAAAAAAAAUUAUGGCUAAGAACCCAAAAGCAAUUGAAACAAAACCAAAAAUUGACAAGGGAGCCUAAUUCAACUAAAGAGCUUCAGCAUAGCAAAAAGAAUUAUGAACAGAAUAAACAGGCAGCCUACAGAAUGGGAGAAAAUGUUUCCAAGCUAUACAUCCAACAAAGGUCUAAUAGAGCCUAGAAGGAACUUAACAAGCAAAAAACAAUCCAAUUAAAAUGUGGUCAAAGGACAUGAACAGACACUUCUCAAAAUAAGACAUGCAGGUGGCCAACAAACAUGAAAAAAUGCUCAUGAACACUAAUCAUCAGAGAAAUACAAAUUAAAACCAAAAUAGAAUACCAUCUCACACCGGUCAGAAUGGCUAUUACCAAAAAGUCAAAAAAUAACAGAUGCUGGCAAAACUGCAGAGAAAAGGGAAUGCUUACACACUGUUUGUGGGAAUGCAAAUUGGUUCAACCACUGUGGAAAGCAGUUUGGAGAUUCCUCAAAGAUUUGAAAACAGACCUACCACUCGACACAGCAAUCCCAUUACUGGAUAUAUACUCAAAGGAAAAUACAUCUCUCAACCAAAAACAAACAUUCACUCAUAUGUCUUUGUCAGUGCUAUUCACAAUAGCAAAGACGCAGAAACAAUAUAGGGACCCAACAAUGGUGGACUGGAUUUUAAAAAUGUAGUACAUAUACACCAUGAAAUACUGUGUAGCCAUACAAAGAAUGAAAUAAUCUAUUUUGCAGCAACAUGGAGGCAACUGGAGGCCAUUAUCUUAAGAAAAUUAACUCAGGAACAGAAAAUUAAAUGCUAUAUGUUCUGAUAUAUAAAUGGAAGGUAAACAUUGAGUACAUGUGGACUUAAAGAUGGGAGCAAUAGAAACUAAGGACUACUAGAUAGGAGAAGGAGGGAGGUGAAUGGGCUGAAAAACAACCUAUUGGGUACUGUCUGGGUGGGAUCAUGUGUACCCCAAACUUCAGCAUCACACAGUAUACACAUAUACACACAUAUAUACACACAUAUGUAUAUACACAUAUAUGUAAUAUAUCAAUACACAUAUAUGUAAAUGUAUGUGUAUAUAUGUAAAUAUGUAAAUAUAUGUAUAUAUGUGUGUGUAAAUAUAUGUAUACAUGUAUAUGUGUGUAAAUAUAUGUAUGUAUACAUAUAUGUAUAUGUGUGAAUAUGUAUGUGUAUAUGUAAAUAUAUGUAUAUAUACAUAUGUAUACAUGUAAAUGUAUGUGUGUACGUGCAUAUGUAAACACACAUAUGCAUAUAUGUAAAUAUAUGCAUAUGUAAAUACAUAAAUGCAUAUUUAUGUAAAUACAUGUAAAUAUGCAAACACACAGAUGCAUGUUUAUGUAAAUAUAUGUAAAUACAUAAUGUGCAAAGCGCAUGUAUAUGUAAAUAUAUGUAAAUAUGCAUAUAUGUAAAUGUGCAUGUAUACACAUGUAUGCAUGUAAAUGUGUAUGGCUAUAAACAUACGCAUAUAUGUAAAUAUAUACGUAUAUGUAAAUAUAUGUAAAUAUAUUUACAUAUAUACAUAUUCACGUUAUGCAUAUAUGUAAAUAUAUUUACAUAUACACAUACAUAUUCACACAUAUACAUAUAUGUAUACAUACAUAUAUUUACACACAUAUACAUGUAUACAUAUAUUUACACACACAUAUACAUAUACAUUUACAUAUAUGUAAAUUGAUAUAUUACAUAUACGUAUAUGUAUAUAUUUACAUAUCUGUAUAUAGAUGUAUUUACAUAUGCAUAUAUGUAUAUAUUUACAUAUAUUUACAUGUAUACAUAUAUGCAUAUAUAUAUAAAUAUAAAUACAAACCUGUCCAUGUACCCUCUAAAUCCAAAAUAAAAGUGGGGUAAAAAGGCUUAACUUUUCACAGAUUAUCUUCAAAGUGACCACUAAUGGAUAUACUUCCACACACAGAAAAAUAAACCCAGAAAGAGGAAAUUGAAUGAAAGAAGAAAUGACGAAAGAGAAAAUGGUUAAAUCUAAACAAGUUGUGAGGCUGGCACGGUGUCUCACGCCUGUAAUCCCAUCACUUUGGGAGGCCGAGGUGGGAAGAUCUCUUGAGACCAGGAGUUUCAGUCCAGUCUGGCCAACAUGGUGACACUCUGUCUAUACUAAAAAUACAAAAAUUAGCCGAGUGUGGUGGUGUGUGCCUGUAGUCCCAGUUACUUGGGAGGCUGAGGCAGGAGACUCACUUGAACCCAGGAAGUGGUGGUUACAGUGAGCCAAGAUUGCACCACUGCGCUCCAGCCUGGGCGACAGAGUGAGACUCUGUCCCAAAAAUAAAUAAAUAAAUAAAUAAAUAAAUAAAUAAAUAAAUAAAUGUAAACAUGUGAGAUUUUAAAAUAUUGUAGUAAAGUUUGGAAUUGUUUAAAAGCAAAACUUAAUGAAAAGACUAGGAAAAAUAGAGGGAUGAAUGGUAGACGAUAUUUGAAUAAAUUCUGUCAUGUAAGGGAUGAGAAAAAUCAUGGGCGCACUCUAAAUUUGUGAAUUAAAUAUAAAAUUAAUAUGGAUGUUUAAUGUUAAGGACCUCGAUUAAAACGGAAUAAUAGAAUGCGGGAAGAAAAUUAAUAUGAAACCAAAGCAUGACAAUUUUUUAAAAUAGUAAAAUAAAUACAUAUAUUAUAAAAUGAGAAUUAUAAAUUGAUUAAAUUCAUUCAUUAGAAGACAUUAAGAAACUAGAGUCUUGAAAAUUAGAUGUGUGUGGCUUAUUAAGAGAAACCCCAAAAGCAAACUGACAGAUACAUUUGAAUCAUCAGGGUUGGAAGGCAAUAUGUAUCUGACAAACUAAACAAAUAGAAGAUAAUAAGAUAAUAUGUAAUAUUACAUAAAAUACAAUUUCACAUGCCAAGAAUCCAUAAUAAUAAAACUAAUGAUAACUAUAAUAUAAUAAGAGCCAACAUUUAUGAUAAAUACAUGGCAAUUAUAAAUUUGUACAAAGCUAAGAGCUUAUCUUCAAAAUAUAUAACAUGAAAUAGCAUUAAAAAAGUAUAAUAAAAACAAAAAAAAUUAAAAAAUGAAAUUUUAAAUGUGUUACCCUAUUUGAAGGUUUUAAGAAAGUUUUCUUAGAAUAUAAUAUAUUGUACAUAAAUAAGCAUAAAUAUAGG